AGCUUACAUGACAGACCUGUAUAAAUUGUUCAACGACAUGAAUCUCCAACUGCAAGGCGAUAAACUAAAUUUAAUUAAAACAAAAAACGUCGUUGCUGCUUUCGCAGCCAAACUACUUCUACACAAAAAAAAUCUAGGCAGACGUGAGUUUCACAAUUUUCCGAACUGUUUGCCUACUGCCAACAUUUGGAAAACCUCCACAUUGGCUUCACCGAACGAUGCCAGGACAUUUUGAACUUGGCAAUUGGCUAAAUGAGUCACCGACCCCCCUCACAAUAUUACACACAAUAAUAAAACAAUUAAUAAAACAAAUAAAAAUAAAAUUUUUGUGAAGAAAAAACAAAAAAAAAAAGGAGGUGACUAAGCGAACAAAAACAGAAGGAAAAAAAAAAACCGUUGGUGGAAAAAAAAAAAAAAAAAAAAUGCAAAAUAAAAUAUAAAAUGUGAAAAAAUUUGUUUGGAAAAAAAAGUUUGGUUGUGGCAAAGUGAAAAAAAAGGCCGUUAGUGGAAAAAAAAAAAAUUUUUGUAAAGCAAAACCAUAAAACAACAGUGGUGUCAGUGAAAACCAAAAUCCGUUGGUGCCAAAACCAAGGUACCGGUAGUGCCAAAAACAAAAUAUAUACAUAUAUGUAAACGUAUAAAAUUAAAUUAAAAAGAAAAAUAAAAAGCUGUGACAAAAUCAUUAAAGAGAAGUGACAAUAAACUCGGUAGAAGAAGCAUUCAUACAUCUACAUACAAUCUUACACAUAGCAAUAAUUAAAGUGAACAAAAGUGCAAAAAGAAAAAAAAAAUUGGCGGAAAAUAGCACACAAGCACAUAUGUAUGUAUGUAUAUGUACAUAGUGAAGUGAGCUAAAAAACAAGUAAAGUGAGGUGAAAUUGGAGUGCGCAAAUUUACAUAAUAAAAAAUAUAUACAUACAUAUUUACAAGUAUUAACAAACGGGUUAGAGAAAUUAAAGCAAACACUUAAAACGGUCGCGAUAAACAAAAAAAAAAAAUAAUAUAAUCAAAGAAAACGGGCGCGAAACUAAACCAACAUAAAACAUAUAAACAAGUAUCAACGCGGGAACAAAACUAACAACACACCUGAACAUCUGGACAUCAGAGACUUGCACACUACCAACAAAGGAGACGAGCACAAAGUUAUAACAGCUGACCGCCGUUAGAAGAGAAGGCCAAGAACACCACACAACAGAGCAAAUACACUUAUAACCCCCACAAAAAAAGACCCUUGAAGCGCGUCAAAGUAAGUGUAUCGUUUUCAUUUUCAUUAUAUAUAUAUAUGUAUGUUUGUACUGGCAAAACCUAAAAAAACCGUUUAAACAGGUUUAAAAACGGAUGCCAAUAAAAAAAAAAAAAAAAAAAUAUAUAUACAUAUAUCGGUAUUAGACUUCCCCAGCCCUAUAACGGAGCAAACGGAAAAACCGAUAUACGGAAAAACCGAUAUACGAAAAAAAAACAAAGGAUUAAAACAUUAAAACAUAUGCACAUAUCAUUUUACUAAUAUUCUUGCUGCCUUUUCAUGCGAUUUUACAUUUGUGUACAUAUACACACAUAACACACUACAAAUAUACAAAUUCAAGUAUCCACUUGCACUACUCUCCCGCAAUACCCCUUCUGCUUCCUAAAGCAGUAAGCAGGAUUGCUUAUAAAAACGCAAGCUAAGGCAGAUCUAUAACAAAAGCGAAAAAUAAUAUAAAAAAAAAGAGAAGGAAUUAAUAUAAUACAGACAUACAUAUAUACACGUUCUAUUGGCACAUACGUGCUUAGAAACUAACAAAUAUUUAUAAUACAAACAUACAUAUAUACACAAAUUGGUACAUACAAAUUGAUACAAAUUACAUAUAUAAUAUACAUAGAAGCCUAAGCAUAAGUGCAGGCAGCAAAAAUAGCUGCGCUUUAUUGGCAUAUCUUCUCUCAACUCUCUUGAAAAUAUUGCGGAAAACCAACAAAGAUUACGCGGGUUAAUAUAAAAUUCACCACACAUAAAUAUCGCUUCAAAGUCCACUUUGGCAUCCAUCUCGCAAUACCCCUUGUUCUUUGACCGUCAAAAACAAGCAGGAUUGCAUAUAAAGCAAAAUACAAACAUAUACAUAUAUAAACAUAUGCAUGUACAAAGUGCAGUGAUCUCUGCUCGAGCUCUCACCAGCACAUAAGAUAAUUACGAAAGAUCCGCUUAUAGGAUACCCUAUAAGAAUUACGGGCACAAAAUAUUUAUAAAAGAUAAAAAAAAAAAAUAAUAAUAAUAAUAAUAAAUAAAUAUAUAUAUACAUAUACUUACAAAAAAUAUAUAUACAUAUAUAUACGCAUAUAGGAAACAUUUUCUGCUACGGUAAUUACAACCAAAUUAUAUACCAAAAUUAUACCAUAAUUGAAAUAAACGGGAAUUUACGUAUUUCAUUUGAAAAACUCUUAUUAACCAACAAGAGUUUCGGGUUUCGGCUUCACGUGCAAUUGAACGCGUUAUCGUGUAAAUUAAAUUCGUUAAAAACUCUUAUUUACGCAAAAGAGUUAACGUCAAAACACAUAAGUACAUAUACACAUAUAUACGAAAAUAUUUUGAAAAGUUUGGCUAUCAAAAAGCCAGUGGUUUUAGUGAUUCUCUUUGGAACUCUCGUAUACAAAAGAGUUUUCUAUUCUCUAUAUUAUUAUACAAAGCUGUUUCUGUAGAUCUACCAGUCUAGUUUACACUUAGACAUUUUUUAUUAUUUUAAAACAUUUUCUAAAUGAGCUCAGAUUCAAAAGAAUCUAAAGCAAUACAGUCACUAAAAGUUCCUAAAAUGAUUUCAGAAGAAAAGAGCCCUUGUACACCUGCUGAUGCUACACGCUCAAAGCAAGGUGCUACAAAGCAAAAAAGGCUGAAAGAUAUUUCAUAUACUAAGUUUAUUGCUGAGAGUGACAGUCUAAUUCGAUACUGCACUCGAUUUUCAACUUCACCGAUUCAAGACAAUUCUGAAUCGGUAUUAGAAAUCAAAAAAGAAAAUCUAAGCAAUUUCUGGACACGUCUCCAAGCUGCGUAUGACGCAAUUGUAGAAUCUGACGAAUCAGAUCUACCUGAAAAUUUCAAAUCUUCAGCAUACUCCAAAUAUGAACACUGCUUAGACCAGUACGAGGAAACGAGAGCUAUGAUCUCCGAUCAAUUGAGAUUAAUUAAAGCAAUUGCACCUACUCCACAACCGAGAGUAGAGCUGCCACAAAUUCAAAGCCAAGAGGCGAGUUCAGGCAUUCACCUUAAAGUGCCAGCAUGUGACACUGAAAUUUUUCAUGGUGGUUAUGAACAAUGGCCGUCCUUCCGGGACAUGUUCACAGCCGUUUACAUAAACCACCCAAAAUUAUCUAAUGCACAAAAAUUGUAUCACCUCCGAUACAAAACAAAAGGUCAAGCAGGGGUAUUAGUCAAACAGUUCGCUCUUAAUGACGAAAAUUUCAAUUAUGCUUGGGAAGCUCUAAAAGCUCGUUACGAAAACGAAAGAAUAUUAGUCGACAAACAAGUCACAAUAUUAAUGAAUUUACCAAAAAUUCAAAAAGAAACACGUGAAGAAUUUAUAAAACUUCAAUCCACUGUUUCAAAUUGCUUGUCGGUUCUAGCGACACAGAAUAUUCCCACAGACAAUUGGGACCCCAUUCUGGUAAAUAUAUGCACAUCCGCAUUACCAGAAAAAUCAUUACUUUUGUGGGAGCAAUCGCUCUCAUCACGAAGAAAGUGCCCAACGUGGCAACAAAUGAACGAUUUCUUAACUACCCAAUACGAAAUUGCGGAAAGGGUUGAUAAAAAAAUGGUCAGAACUAAAAACGUUCAACACGACCUAAAUCGAAGCUUCAUUAGACCCCAAGCGAGUAACAACAACAACUUAAAUCGUAGUUUUUUUAAAACACAAGCGUUCACAUCCGAACAAAAUAAACAAACGUCAUGCGAACUGUGUAAAGGAGGACACAGGCUGAAAUCUUGCGAGAAAUUUAAAAAACUAAAUAUCAACGAAAGAAACAAUUUCGUAAGAACGAAAAAACUUUGUACCAACUGUUUGUCACAUGCGCAUGCGCUCAAAGAUUGCGAAAGCAAAUUUAAUUGCGUUUAUUGUCAUAAACGACACCAUUCGAUGCUUCAUAUAAAUAACUUUUCCAGCUUACCCCCAAACAGCGCAAAUAUCAAAAGAGCAACAGGAUUAGUUGCAACAACAAAUUCUGAAAACUGCCAAGAAGCACCAUGCUGCUCAAAGGCAUUAAAAACCCAAUCGCUACAUAGCGAAAAUCAAAGUAGGGUACUACUACCCACAGCAGUCGUCUCCAUCGAACACCGAGGAGAACUGUUUAAGCUCAGAGCCCUAAUAGACCAAGGAUCACAACGAUCUUUCAUAGCGUCUAGGGCACAAAAUAGGCUAAAUCUGCCAAUAAGACAAGCCAACUUUGAAUUUACGGGAAUGGGCGGAAGAGUAGUUCAAAACUCUAAUAAAAUAUGCCCCAUUACCCUAUUUUCCCCCCAAGCGGAUAUAAGAAUACAAGCAGAAGCUAUAGUCUUACCGCAGUUAACCAAUAUGCUACCAAGCUAUCACAUAAAUAGCAAGCAUUGGGAAAAGGUUUCACACCUUAAGUUAGCAGAUCCCAAUUGCAACACCCCCGCUCAAAUAGACCUUCUAUUAGGCAGCGAUCUUAUACCACAAAUAAUGCUCGAAGGUAUUGAGAAAAUUUCAAACACACUUUUGGCACAAAAGACUAUUUUCGGUUGGAUCCUAAGUGGACUAGUUACGGAACCAGUCACAACAAUGACAACUCAAGUUGAGGAAAUCUCAAACGAGUACCUCAAUUCACAAUUGAGAAAAUUUUGGGAGAUAGAAGAACUCCCCCCCAUUUCAAUCACAACCCCCGAAGAUCAGUAUUGUGAAGACUUUUACAAAGCCACAACUACUAGAUCAGAUAAUGGUCGGUAUGUCGUACGACUACCACUAAAACAACAAUUUCCCAACACAAUCGCCUUAGGUCAUUCUCGCACCUCUGCAAUACAGCAGUUUCAAAGUAUGGAAAGAAACCUACUUAAAAAAGGUGAACUCAAACCAGAAUAUGAUGGUGUGUUGGAAGAAUACCUCCAUUUAGAUCACAUGGAGGAAGUAAGCCCAUGCGAAAAAAUUAUCAAUGGCAAAUACUACUCAUUUUACUUGCCACAUCAUGCAGUAGUAAAGCCAGAUAAAAAAACAACUAAAGUAAGAGUUGUUUUCAACGCCUCAAGAUCCACUAGCUCGGGGAAUUCCCUAAACGAUAUCCUGUUUACGGGACCCACGCUCCAACCUGAUUUAAUGCUGCUGAUUCUAAACUGGCGUACAUUCAAAUACGUAUUUAACGGGGACGUCGAAAAAAUGUAUAGACAAAUAGUCGUACAUAAAGACGAUCAAGAUUUUCAGCGAAUUAUUUUCCGAAAAUCCCCCAAUAGUCCACUACGCGACUUCAAGCUAAAAACAGUGACCUUUGGCGUUAACUGUGCCCCAUACUUAGCCAUUCGAACACUCCAUGAAUUGGCUGAAAACACCAAGUCAGAAUUUCCUCUGGCGACCCAGGUGUUAAAAACACAAACGUAUGUAGACGAUAUUCUGUCUGGAAGUCACAGUCUUCCACAAGCAUACGAAUCAUUAUCACAAGUAAUCCAAGCCCUCAAAUCCGCAGGGUUUCCAUUAAAAAAGAUUACCGCAAAUCACCCAACUAUAUUAAAAAAUAUACCAAAAGAAAAUAUGUUGGACACUAAUUUCCUUAUUUUCGAAAAGGAAAGUACAACAAAAACUCUGGGCAUCCAGUGGAAUGCGAUAUCGGACAAGUUUUCAUACACAACUGAGUCCAUAUCCGCAUUAUCCGCCAUUACGAAACGCCAAAUCCUCUCCUCUGUGGCAAAACUUUUUGACCCCGCAGGAUGGCUUUCGCCAAUUAUGAUACAAGCGAAAAUCCUGAUCCAAGAAUUAUGGCUAGACGGAACUGACUGGGACGAACAAGUGAAACCUCUUCGCUUGGAAAGAUGGUCCCAGUUCGCUAAUAAUCUGACCGACAUUUCGCAGAUACAAAUUCCACGGUGGGUAAACUAUUCCCCCGAAUACAAAGUGGAACUACACGGCUUCUGCGACGCCUCUGAAAAGGCCUAUUGUGCCACUAUAUAUGUGCGCACACAAAGCGAUAUUGCAACUACAAGCCACCUACUAGUGGCAAAAGCUAAAAUUGCGCCUCUAAAAACCAUAAGUCUACCACGACUUGAACUCUGUGGCGCUCUGCUACUAGCAAAGCUAGUUUCCAUGGUGCAGACCCACUUAAACAUGGCGAAAUACAAAUUAUAUCUAUGGUCUGAUUCCGAAAUAGUUCUAGCCUGGUUAGAAAAGCCACCACACGCGUGGAAAACCUAUAUUUCUAAUCGAACGGCGCAAAUUCUUGACCUAGUGGGAUCAGCCACUUGGCGACACGUAACCAGUGCUGACAAUCCUGCAGAUCUAGGUACAAGAGGGUGCAAACCCCUGCACCUUGCCACCACCACCCUUUGGUGGAAUGGCCCCCGAUGGUUAACAGAAUCUCCCGAUUCUUGGCCACAAUCGCCCAUGCGCAAUAUUAUUGCCACAGAAAGUCGAAAGAUCAACUCCUUUCACGCAGCGUUGGAUGAUACUGACAUCCUGGAGAGAUUUUCAUCUUACCCCCGAGCCCUCAGGGUAAUCGCUUAUAUGCUUAAAUUCAUAGAGCCACUCAAACUUAGCCUUAAAGGAAUACGCACAGUAUAUCCCCAAGGCGAUACAGUGACGCACCUAGACUUACAAAAAGCAAAGGUCGCUCUUAUCGCAUCUACUCAAGCGCGCUACUUCAGCCAAGAGAUAUCAGUACUGAGAGAAUCGAAGCCGAUUGAUAAAAAGAGCUCACUCCUAGUACUAAAUCCAUUCAUAGAUACGAAGGGCCUACUUCGGGCAAAUGGUCGGCUUGUCAAUUCAAGCCUAACGUACAACGAACGUCAUCCCAUUGUUAUACCAGAGAGAUCGCAACUUGCCUCAUUAUAUAUCAAUUAUGUCCACGUACUAUUAUUACACGCUGAACACCGCCUCAUGCAACAAAUAGUCCGCCAAGAGUUUUAUAUCCCAAGACUCAAGCCAAAAAUAAAGAAAUGCAUUUUUUCGUGCAAGAUAUGUACUGUGCAUAAGCAAAAGAUGCGAACACAGAUUAUGGCAGCACUUCCACCGGAACGCUGCAACUUUGCUCCGCCCUUCACUAUCACAGGUGUCGAUUUUGCGGGGCCUUUUCAAAUAAAGGCAUCCAUGCUAAGGUCUCCCACACUGAUGAAAGGCUACGUGGCUGUCUUUGUCUGUUUUACGACAAAAGCAGUACACCUCGAGCUAUGUAGUAAUCUGACAAAAGAGGCUUUCCUCGCGGCAUUUGCUCGCUUCGUCGGACGACGUGGUUUUCCGUCAAAGCUCAUGAGCGACAACGGCAAGACAUUUAUAGGCGCUCAAAGAGCCACCGAAAAACAGUUUGUGGACUUUAUCAAACAAGUUUCCCCUGAGAUUGUACAAAAGUACGCUCCGCAAGGCAUUAACUGGCAGUUCAUCCCUCCAAGCGCUCCUCAUAUGGGUGGUUUAUGGGAAUCAGCGGUAAAAAGCUUUAAAUCCCACUUUAAAAAAGUAGCUGGAAACUACAAAUUUAACUUUGAAGAAUUUACAACAUUAUUAAUUCGUAUUGAAGCCGUUCUCAAUUCACGGCCAUUGUCUACACUCUCGCAAGAUCCCUCAGAUCUAACAGCUCUUACACCAGGGCACUUUCUCAAAGGAGCACCCAUUCUGGCCAUACCUGAGCCAGGCGUGGAGUCGCUAUCCUUACUAAACAGAUGGGAAAGAAUUAAAAUUCUCCAUCAUAAUUUCAGCCGCCGAUGGAAGGAGGAGUAUAUAAAGGACCUUCACAAAAGGUACCGCUGGAAAACUCCCGAAAAGGCGCCAAAGCUUGGAGAUUUGGUUCUAAUACAUGACGACUGUCUCCCCCCCACAGAAUGGCGACUUGGCCGCAUAGAAAAGCUACAUCACGGCUCCGACGGUCACAUACGAGUAGUUGACCUUCGUACUCAAAACGGAAUUCUAACGAGACCGCUCGUUAAACUAUGCGUCUUACCAAUCGCCGAUAACACCGAAAAAAUACAUAAUAAACAAUCCGUUUAAUAACUAAAACCGAAAUAAACCGCAAACCACAAACCGAUGUUCCCGCUAUACAAUUAACUAAUUAAAUAAAACGUUAAAAAAAAAACGAGAAACACGCUAAUACCAACCGUAAAAUAAUAUUCCGUAAGCAAUUAACUAAGAAAACUAAUCCCAAUGGUCGAUCAUUACGACGACCCAUUCAUGCCACAUACCGUGGCACGAUUGCUCAUAUCUAAUCAUGACCGAUUUAUAACUAACAAUCUCCUUUAUACAUAGUAGAUUACCAUGGACCUCGAUACGCCAGUGUUAGCCCCGCCAACCGUUCGGUCGGCUACCAGCGUGCAACGCACCGGGCCUACCCCAACGCCCCGAGCUGCAGUUGGAACAGCACCGGCAACCGCACCGGCAACAGGCAAUCGUUCAUCACGGGUCUCGGACGGGAAUCGUAUAAGAUGCCCCCUAUGCCGCCGCCCACAUCGCCUGCACCACUGUGGGAUCUUCAGGGAGAUGCGGUCGUUACAACGACAGCAAGUGGCCCAGGCACAUGGGCACUGUUUAAACUGCCUAUCGCCGACGCAUCGGCUUCAAGAGUGCGAGUCGAGGGGUUUGUGCCAAGUCUGCAGCAGACCACAUCACACGCUGCUUCACCGCACCACGAGGCGCAAUGUGAAUCGGCCACCGAUACCUCGCAGCCACGCAACAAGGCAUCAAUCCGGAAGUCGAGCCUUGCGUCAGCGGGUUGGAACAUCGAUUCGGCGUCGACAGCCUAGGCCCCAGCCACGACGAUCGGUGGGUCUUAGCAGCGUCGUGGCAACGCUGCAACAGCUGCAGCAACUCCUAUGCUAAUCAAUUGCCUAGGGGGGCCAGGAUGGCUAAAUGAGUCACCGACCCCCCUCACAAUAUUACACACCCACACCUCACACAUUACAUACACCACAUCGUCAUUCCAUUCCCAUAUCCUAAUUACACACCACAUCAUCAUUACAUUCCACAUCACACUCUCACAAAUACUACAACAUCACGACUUCAACAUACCAAAAAAAGGGAACAAAAGGGCGGACGGACAAGGCUCCAGCCUCUUUCGCAUGAUCGCUACGAACGCGCAAGCAUCGCCACGUUCUUUCCGCCGAGACACUCGCCUUUUUCGUUCCGCCUUUUUGAACGCAUUAUUCUCGUGUAAGGGAUGGAACAACAGAUGUCACACGUACAUUUCAUUUUGGAGAGCCCACAGAUGUCCAAAAAGAAGCUUAUACCCGGGUUUUAAAAGGACAAUUAGCAUUUGGCUCCACAAUUUUUCCCUCACGGGUUAAAGGUCAAAUGC
RNA transcript from Bactrocera dorsalis (oriental fruit fly), 9456 nucleotides. It is a transcript of the gene named xaa-Pro aminopeptidase ApepP, with no coding region annotated. The record is from RefSeq and is a predicted model, not a curated record. The transcript is spliced from 3 exons. Lineage: Eukaryota; Metazoa; Arthropoda; Insecta; Diptera; Tephritidae.